ACCACCGUGUCCUGAUGAGGGGUCUUGAAGCUGGAUAGGUUCUUGUUUUCAGUCCUUUACCUGUGAUUGAAUUCAGUAAUGACAAAAAUCCGCUAAGACAAACCUCGUAAGAUGUUGGUGGUGUUUCUCCCUCUGUUUGCUUUCCAUCACCCCCACAUCUGAAGUUUCACUGUCAGCUCGCUGACGUGGGAGCCUCACACGGGUUGGCGCUGAGCAGGCCAAGGACAAUCACCUCCUAGCACAUUGAAGCUAGGUUUGCUUUGACCCUCUGAGGUAUGUUAUGACUUAUUUAGUCUAUACUAAGAUUUUAAGGUAUGUUAUGUGUUACUUAACAUGAGGCAAGGUCACUGCAUAGCAGAGCGGAGGAGUCACGAUAGUGUGGAUCAGCGUUACCUAUGUGAGCUUCGGGGUUUUGCAAGGACUGCGUUGGAGGUGUUGUUGGCGAAGGGGAUGUUGAAAGUGCACUUGGCUCCUCAGCACCUGUUGCCAGUGCUUCUCUUUUGCCUGCAAUCAUGACACCAGUCCCCGGUGUGGCAGGCAGCUCCUCUCCUUUUCACCUCCAGAGUUUACACCAGGAAGCUGACAGCCUGUGUCCUCAGCUCUCAAGUCAGGGUGCUGAAGGGCAACGUGGUCACGGCAAACAGGAGCACCAAGAGCAGUAAAGCUGCAUCAGUGCAGGCUUUAACACAUGGUAGCAGGUAGAUUAAAGGCCAUUCAGGAGCCCCAGGGACGUACACCGGUUGUUAGCGUAGGCAUAACCCAUAUUUGCACGCCCGUAUCUUGUGUACUUGGGAGAUUACAGCCUCCACAGGCAUGUGACUACAGUCUGGAGAGGUUCUCCUGAUUUAUCAAGAGAACACUUCAUGUUUCAGAGGGCGAAGAAGGCCUUUGGUUUCCCCUGUAAAUCCCAGUCUUUGUUCCACCUUUCAGCAUGCACUGCACUCGGAGCACAGCCAAAGCCAUAAAUCCUCCAGCAGGAGGUUCAGGUGGACUUCCCUGGAAAGCCUUCAUCUGAGGAUCUCACUGUAUUUAAGCGUUGUCCAUUAACGAGGCUCACAGCAGAGCAGUGAUCUUAGCAGCCUUCUCCAGCAUUACUUGGUAGAGUAGCAGAGCAGGGAACUAAAAAGCUGAGUCUGCAAAAUGCCCCUUUCCACUGUUGAACUAUAUAAUGCUCAAACUGUACUCUGACCACUGAGCUAUAAACGUUCCCUGCCUAUUUAAUGUUUUUGUUAGCACCGAGUCAGCCUUCAGCUCAUUUUGUGCAUCACGUAAGGCCUGGUGAGUGAGUCCACUCCAGUGAGGUCAGGCACAAGGGAUGCCUCUGAGCCUUCACCAGUCUGUGGUCGUCUCCUUUCCCCUGCCGCCCUGCAGGACAACGUUAAUUUCUACUUUGAGGCCUAUCGUGCUGAAGAUAACAUAACCCAGACCACAUCUAUGUAAAUCUACCGGAUUAUGUUGCCUGCUUGAGGUCAGGAAUCCUCUGAAACAAUGUUCCAGUUGGAUGGGUAAAAGUCAGGAGUACAAAUAGAUUAUGCGUCUCGUAUUUCCUCUAGUGAAGGGAAGGGAGCCCAAGUGCCAGUCAAACACGUUGCUGCAACAGUACACCUCGGGGAAAACUGCUCCUCUUCCCCUGACAGCUCUUCUGUGAAGAGUCAUUGCUGCAAUUUAUUGAGUGCUUGGGUCUUCCAGGAGCUGUGCAAGCGCAAACAGUAAGCGACCUUUCUUGCAAAGCAGCUCUUCCAGUGCAAGACUGGGCGCGUAGCCAAAAAGGAAACAUUUGUGAAGAUACCCUGCUCAUGCUGCUAUUUGCUGUUUUAUGCAGAUUCGGCAUGAAAACAACAUGUGAUUUGAUGAGUCAGGUUGCAUACAAUAUAUGCAGGUGUCUGAUGCAAUAUUUAUUCAGUGGUAGGUCACGGGGAAGGAGAGUGAUAGCUGCAGAUAAUAUACAGGGACUUUACAUUAUGCUUAACCCAACUGCGUGUACAGGUGGUUUAGUUUAAUAUAAAACCCAAGCAGCAUUGCCGGACGUAUUGCGAUGUGAUACUAAAAAGGAGUUGCAGUGAGGACUGUUUUCAGUAACCUGUUUCUACCAAGUGGAGGGUGAACGCCUCGUUUGAUAGAGUGAUUAAUGAUACUCAGCGCGACUGCUCAGCCGGCAGGGGUGGAGGCUUUGCUAAUUGGAUCUGGAAAUUCCUUUCCUCGUGCUUAAGGAUGAUGCAAACUUUCACAGCCAACUGGAGACCUGUCCACCCUGCAGCUGGAUGCCAAUAAACACAGCUCAAGUUAAUAACCCUUGUGUCAGGGGAAGAGAUCCAAAAGAGAAUCUGGGCCUCGUUAUUGUUCGUAUGUGGCAUUAGUAGAGGCACUGUAAUAUGCCAUAGGAGUCCCUUUUUGUUAAGGGGUGGGAGUUUUUUUAAUUGCUUGUCUGAGUAAACGUGUUAAAGACCCCAAGCUCUAUUUGUGACCGGGGCAUGUUGAACAUGAAGCCGUGGUUGUUGAACACAAAGCCACAACCACGUCUGCAUCCCUUUCCCCCUCUCUCUCUUCUUGCAAAGUCUGACCAGAUGCGUUCAAAGUAUUUGCAUUCUGGAAGGCACAGCUGAACCUUCCUCAGCGCCCAAAGCUACUGGUGACCAGCCUCGUGUGCUGGUUCUUCACUGUCAGUAGAUGUAUCUUGGUGUGUUCCUACUUUAUUUUAUGCUUCAGCAGGUUUCUGGCUGAGUUUCUGCCUUUAGGUAUCCAGUCUGAUGUUAGGACACUUACUGGUGUUUGCUGAUGUCAUAUCACUUGUUUUUGUUUUGUUUUUUUAAGCUGCUUGAAGUCCUCAGGAACUGAAAGAGCGUUAUCAGCUUCCUUCACACUGUGACGAACGGGACAGUUACAGGCCUUCCUUCUUACUGCACUUCAGCAGUGUUUGUUUUGCUUAUGCAAAUCGAAAUAUGCAUAGUUAAUGGCAUGUUAAUAAACUUUUCCCUUUGCUGCUGCUUCUAAAAUCAAAUCUGGACCAAGGUGGGUGGCUUCAUAGUGAAAGCAAUCUAACUUCCUCUGUUAAUCUGUUUUCUGAUGCAGCGUGGAUUGUGCCAGGUGCUAGCUCCUUGCCCUCUUUCCCCUCCUUAAGAACUUUGCCCCCCAUCUUAGCAACAGAGGAGCCUGGAAAAUGAUGAUGUUGGCACGGCUGUGCCCAAAGGUCAGCUCUGCCCAGGAAUGUGGCACGAGAUUAGCGAGAUGUGCAGAGAGGCAUUGAAAAUACGAGCCUUAAAGGUGCACGCAAUAUAGAGGCAGGGUGCAGAAAGGACUGAGGGAGAGGUGGGAAAAGUAAGUGUUGCAUGGGGAAGGAGAGGGUUGAGAGGCAAAAGGCACAGCUGGGUGGGAAACCCAGGAGCUCUCAAAGUCUUGAUGUGAGAGGAAAAAAAGCUCAAAGCAGAGGCAAACAGCCCGGUAUGGAAAUGCCCAUCCAAGCAAGGUUGUCUUUGGGUUGGUGAUGCUUUUUUUUCAGUCUGUUAUAAUGAAAAUAAUCUUCUGGGAAAAACCCCGUGGGUUCAGAGCUCACAGCACUGAGCUGGGCAAGGAGCAGCACCUCUCCACGGAGCGCCCCGGUGCUGCCAGUCCUCCUUGGCACAGCGCUGGUCCCCCGCCAGAUUGGCCUCUUUGCAACGCUGAGGAAUAAAAUAAUAACUCAUGAAGUAAAAAUAAUACAAGAUACAGAACACUAAAAAGGGAUUUUCCUCUUUCUGCAAUGGAGAAAUAAAUGGCUGACCACCAGAAGGGGUUCUUCUCUCGUAUUUGAGUUUUCAGUCUUGAGGCUUUUCUCCGAACAACCCAGCAGGGGAAAAAAAAAAAUCGCUGUGUUGUAUCUGCCCAUACAAAGAGGAUGGAAAACAACAACUGGUCGGAGCAACUGGGGCUUGGAGCCAGGAUCCUGCAUCAGUGUUUAAACAAAAUGUGAGAAGAGCGUGCUGUGAAUGGCUUGUUGCUGGACCUAGUGUGAUGAAUAAUUAUGGAGCAGCUGAGCAGUGCUAGCCAGAGGCUCAAAGAAUCUGUCAAGCUGCUAAGAUGAUGUUGGAGACCCCGUGUGCAGCAGCUGUUGAGCUGAGAAGAAAGAAGCUCACUCUUUGAAAAGGAAAGCUGCCCUGGUGGGCCGCAGUGGUAAGCCACUGCCUGCUGCGCUCUGCCGGUGCUGUCACUCUCUGGGGGCAAAGCAAGCAUCCUCUUCCUACCAUGCACUCUGGACUUUUCUGAAAUGGGUUUUGGCCAUAAAAGCCAUGGCAAUGCUCUGCUACAAAAUUCAUGCUGGCUGUGGUGCUGGUGUGCUGCCUUGUAUGUGAACUUUAAAUCCGGAAAUCCUAGGGACUACACCACUCUUCUCAGAAUUGUUUUUGAUUCACCGCAGCAGUUCCACAAUUACUUGGCUCAUCUCUUUUGAGUUCAGGUCUUAAGAAUGCAACUUGAGACACCUCUUUAGCAGAUGCCCGCUUCAGCCUUAGCCCACAGCUCAAGUCCGUGACUGUUUUUCCCUUCCUGGUAGCCUCGGGGACUGCCAGCCACCCCCCCGGGGACUGCCAGCUGCUCUGCCAGGAAGGCAGUGAUGCUGUGCACCUCCUGCAGCCUCUGCGCAGCAGUAAAUGUCUGCUUUUCCACAGAUACUUGAUGAUGAUGCAAAGACACUUAAAGAUAUUUGCUAAACACUUAUGAAUCUAUUUAUGAUUAGCGAAUAAUUAAAUAAAUCACAGCAAUCAUAAAGGCACAUGGCCAGUUAGUUAGAUUUGCAUAUAUAGCACUUUUCAAACAGAGCAGAGGAGCUCAAUUCAUCUAAUAGAAGCCUAAAUUCACUGUAUCUUAAUUUGAUUUACCUUUGACAUAACAUUUAAAUAGUAGCAACAUCUAUAAUCUUGUGCUCCUCAAUAAGGCUUCAUUAAAAACUCACUGCCAGAUCUAAUCCACGGUUAGCAUACAAAGUCUUAUCUCUAGGUUCCUGCUUCAAUGCCUUUGAGAACAUGCUUAAUUUAAUCUGAACAAAGACACUGCCAUCAUAAGCCUCCAGUCUGAUUUUUCCAAUCUAGAAUAUCUUUGUUAUUAAAUUUGGUGCAAGCCAUGGUGCAUACAAUGGAUACAGCAAAUUAUUUUAAAGCACUCUUCAAGGAAAAUUCUACUGCUUGUUAGACAUCUUUUAUAUCUGUGGGACGUAAGAAAUGUCACUUUUUUUUAAUGUCAUACAAAAAUGCAGUAUUAGUCUUAACAACUUAACUACUGCUUGGAAGUGCCAAGUUUUAAUGUAAUAAAUAUUUUUUAACCAUUUGAGAAAGAAUGUUGUUUUUAAAUGUAUUAACCAU
Anas platyrhynchos (mallard) is the source of this 5330-nucleotide non-coding RNA. Lineage: Eukaryota; Metazoa; Chordata; Aves; Anseriformes; Anatidae. The record is from RefSeq and is a predicted model, not a curated record.